Molecule: ribosomal RNA, 22 nt
Filed under: Glyceria leptolepis
Lineage: Eukaryota; Viridiplantae; Streptophyta; Magnoliopsida; Poales; Poaceae
Description: partial 26S ribosomal RNA
Source: RNAcentral
CGACCCCAGGUCAGACGGGACU